UACGUGUAGGUAAGCUGAAUGUACCGUAAGGAUAAGGAUCGGCUAAACUCCGUGCCAGCAGCCGCGGUAAUACGGAGGAUCCAAGCGUUAUCCGGAUUUAUUGGGUUUAAAAGGGUGCGUAGGCGGCUUAUUAAGUCAGGGGUGAAAGACGGUGGCUCAACCAUCGCAGUGCCCGUUGAUACUGAUGAGCUUGAAUACACUAGAGGUAGGCGGAAUGGUGACAAGUAGCGGUGAAAUGCAUAGAUAUGUCACAGAACACCGAUUGCGAAGGCACGCUUACUAUGGUGUUAUUGACGCUGAGGCAACGAAAGCGGUGGGGAUACAAACAGGAUUAGACUACCCUGGUAG
RNAcentral lists this ribosomal RNA (348 nucleotides) under uncultured bacterium. RNAcentral describes it as "bacterial SSU rRNA". It matches the Rfam family "Bacterial small subunit ribosomal RNA", at positions 454 to 793 of the family's 1533-position model. The record is from RNAcentral.